RNAcentral lists this long non-coding RNA (2141 nucleotides) under Canis lupus familiaris (dog). RNAcentral's name for it is "lncRNA (ENSCAFG00845003769.1)". Lineage: Eukaryota; Metazoa; Chordata; Mammalia; Carnivora; Canidae. The record is from RNAcentral.
UUUGUUUGAGAGUGCGUGUGUGCACACGUGAGUGAGAGAGGGGCAGAGAGAGAGGCGAAAAAGAAUCCCAAGCAGACUCUGCGCUGAGGUGCUGAUCACAGACCUGAGGUGGGACUCCAUCCCCCAACCCAUGAGAUCAUGACCUGAGCCGAAACCAAGAGUCUGACGCUUAACCGACUGAGCCACCCAGGCUUAUUUUUAAAGAGAAAAAUCUACCCAUUGCCAAAAUGCCCAGCUAUGUCUGGCCUAUGUUUCAUUUAAAUACUCUUUCAGCCAACCCCCAGCCCACUCCAGGUGGGGACCCAAUGUGGACUCAGCCAAGAGCUUCUGGUGCCCUUCGGGGUCAGCAGGGCUCAGAGCCAGCUUCAGGUCCAACCUGGAAGGCCACCUGACCAGAGCUAUCAACCAUGCUACCCCACCAACGCCAAGGCUGGAGCUAAUUAAUUAACAUGGAUUUCUAAAGAUGUUUCUAAUGAUGCAAGCAGGGAAGAGCAGAAAAGGGAGUCCUUGAACUAAAGAAAACCUCCACUUUAGAGCUGUUCACUCGAGAGCUUCUCCCUGAGGAGCCCUGCAAAGUAAGGCCAGGCAUUCUGAGCAGGCACCAAGGACGAGGCUUCAUUAUGUUAAAAAAUUCAUCAGAAGACACCUCCGAGUGACUCCAGGCCUCCUCCUGUGAGGAGAAACCCAUUUGGAUAAAUUUGGAAAACCCUCGCACACUCGACAUUUUGGGGCACCCGCUGUGGGCAGAGCUCCAUGUCCAGCCUUCAUUUGGGCGGGGGAUGCCGCAGGUGCCGUGGGGCAGUGAGGAAGGCCCUGGCUGGCAAGGUGAGUUCAGGGGAGCUCCUGAGGAGGCGGUCGGGGAAGACCUCCGCUUUCCCCCAGGGCCAUCAGACCACAUCCUCUUGCACGCUCGAUGCACAAACAGGAGGCUGCCAGUCAGCUGUGUGUCUCCACGCUGGUGACCACAGUACCCCACCCCCAUCCCAUGAAUCAGGUAGCUGCAUUCGCACCUGAAAGAAGAAAGUGGUGGGAUUCCUCGUCUCCCAUCUGUGCUGACGCACCAAGCCACGGAACCGGAUGCGUUCUCUUCAAGGACAAGGGAGACCAAAAUCCCAGCUCACCCUUGCUAGCCCAGGAUUACUGCUGAUACCGUCCGUUUUAACUCCAAACAUCCUUGUUUGGAAAGAAAAAGAAAACUGAUGGUCACCCCACCCAUUUCCCCAUCAAAGUUUCAUGGCAAUUUCGCAACUUUCAGUCUCCAUCCAGGCUGCCCCAGCCUGCCGACCAGCCUUCAGACACCUUCACUCCUGUGUCCUCACCCACUUGCCCACUGGUGAGUUCCUCACACUAUCCAGGAGUCCUCACGCUCAGGGAAGCCCCCUGAUCCUCAGCCCUCCAUCCAUUUCCUGGGUCCCCAACCUCAUUCACUGCACUUAGCACACCACUCUGCAACAGCCUAUCUCUUGGGCCUGUGAACUCCUGGCAGGCACCCACUGCCGUAUUAGCCUCCUCCAAGUCCUUCACUUGUAACGCAGCACCUCGCUUAGACAGGUAUUUGGUAAAUAACAUUUGCUAAAUUCACUGCCAUCAAUCAGGGCCCAGGAGUCAGCUAGAACCACCAGCACCUUUCCUCUCCCUGGUCCCAGGUGCCCUACAGAGAUGUCACUCUGGGAUGAUGGCAGCACUUAGAAGUGGGCAGGAGGCCCAAUCAGACCCCACAACUACCUGGGCAAGAGAGUCCCCAAGAUCCACAAGAGCAGGGGCUGAUUUGGUCACAUGAUCUCAAAGGAGCCUUUACAAGCUCAGACGUUUUGCAACUCUUAAGUCUGUAACUCAGCUUCUUCAGAAUAGAAAUCGGGCCUAGUUAUGUCCAUCACAAGCCUCGAAAAUAUUAGUGCCAUCAAGUCCACAUGGGGAAAUCCUCAGACAAGCACCAAAAUUUAACAUGCACAGACGCUCACUGCAGCACGUUUUGUAGUAAGAGAAACUAAACAAAGCAUGUCCUUGGAAUGCCAUCUGCCAUUAAAAAUCACAUUUUAGAACAGUAACAUGAGAAGAUGAUCCUAACACGUUAAGUGAAUAAAAGGGACUGCAAAACAACAUGAGCCCAAUUCUACAAAGAAAAAAAGGGAAAGGAAAAA